Bos taurus (domestic cattle) is the source of this 72-nucleotide non-coding RNA. The record is from Rfam. NCBI's taxonomy places the organism in Eukaryota, Metazoa, Chordata, Mammalia, Artiodactyla, Bovidae.
UCCCUGGUGGUCCAGUGGUUAGGACUUGGGGCUUUCACUGCCAUGGCCCAGGUUCAAUCCCUGGUCAGGGAA